GAUGAACGCUGGCGGCGUGCCUAAUACAUGCAAGUCGAGCGAACGGACGAGAAGCUUGCUUCUCUGAUGUUAGCGGCGGACGGGUGAGUAACACGUGGAUAACCUACCUAUAAGACUGGGAUAACUUCGGGAAACCGGAGCUAAUACCGGAUAUAUUUUGAACCGCAUGGUUCAAAAGUGAAAGACGGUCUUGCUGUCACUUAUAGAUGGAUCCGCGCUGCAUUAGCUAGUUGGUAAGGUAACGGCUUACCAAGGCAACGAUGCAUAGCCGACCUGAGAGGGUGAACGGCCACACUGAAACUGAGACAGGGCCCAGCCUCUUGCGGGGGGCACAGUGGGGAAUUCUUCCGGAAUGGGCGAAGGCCGGAUGGGCCAACGCCGGGGGGGUGAAAAAGGUCUUGGAAUCGUAAAACUCUUUUAUGGGGAAGAAAAAUAUUGGAAAGAACCUGUGCACUUCUGAAGGGACCCUAACAGAAAACCCACGGCAAACUCGGUG
Molecule: ribosomal RNA, 496 nt
Filed under: uncultured bacterium
Lineage: Bacteria
Description: partial 16S ribosomal RNA
Rfam family: Bacterial small subunit ribosomal RNA
Source: RNAcentral